Pelmatolapia mariae (spotted tilapia) is the source of this 4022-nucleotide long non-coding RNA. RefSeq lists it as uncharacterized. Lineage: Eukaryota; Metazoa; Chordata; Actinopteri; Cichliformes; Cichlidae. The record is from RefSeq and is a predicted model, not a curated record. The transcript has 2 exons.
ACACAAACAUAAAUUGCAUGUGAAGCAGGAGGUGCAGAUUUUUUUGCUGUUCUUUUCUAAAUCCAGGCUUGAUCACGUGGAGGUAUUUGGAAAACCUUUUUAGCCAGCGGACGACUGUUGUCUCGCAGAAAGUCAAAUCAAAUGUAUGCAAUACAGAAUCAAUUCACAAGAACACAUUAUAAAAAACAAGUCCAGUUCUUGCCUGAUUUCAAGUGAAUUCUGCAUCAAAACAGGGUAACAGAAUUAAAACGAGUGUUUGCAGCAAAUGUGAGCACAAAGCCUCUGUUAAGAGAUUUUGAGAUUUUAUGAUGUUUUUCCUUUUUCAUACAUUUUCCCUUUUAAUGUUUCAUUUACUCAGUUUUCCUUAUAAUGUUCCAUUUACUCAUAUACUUCUGUUAAGAAAGGCCUGAUACUCAUAUGCUUAUGUUAAGAAAGGCUUGAAAAGCACAUAGUGUUCACAUAUCUUUAUGUUUUGUCUUUGCUUCUUCUCACACACAUACACAUGAGCCCUGCCGUAAUCGCUGACUCCUGUAAAAGUAUCUUGCAGACACCCUUGGAAACAGGACCCAACUGGCUUCUGCUUUCCCCGAGAUAGACAAUACACUCACACACACACACACACACACACUGUGUCCCAUACAUGCCCAGAUUGUCUGUUACAGUCUGAAAAAACAGAGAAUGCUACGAUGUAUAAAUAAAGCUGACUGCAAAGCCUCGGUGUGAGUAUCACCCGAUCACUCACCCGUGCGCACGUAGUUCUCUGAACAAAACUCUGACUGUUUCUGUAUUCUUUCAAUGUUUAAAAAUGUCUUGCCACUGACAUUUAAUUGGUCCUUCGAGCCGGAUGGUUUAUUGAUAUUAUUGUAUCAUCUAACUAUUCACAGACGGAGCCACCGGAUCCUGACGUCGUGAGUACCUGCACUGCAACCACCGUUUCUAGCGAAGCGAGGAAAAGCCCAGGGUGUACAUUCACCUACUGGCCAGUGUCUUAUACAGGUCCACGACGCCAGGUUCUCGGUGACGCCGGGAAAAAGAACACAGCGCAACAUUGAAGGUGAAUAUAAAGCAGCCAGAAACACUUUGCGUUGAAUAAUCGAUUUUAGGCUGACACUGCUCGAAGUAGAAGGGUCCUGUGUGGACCGAAAAGGAAAAGGACAGACGUGUCCUAUGUAAUAUGCUCGCCCGUGUAAGACGAAACAACCUGCCCUGUGGGGGCCUGUUUCGCAACAUAAAAAAGGGUUGGUAGCCAGUAUAUCUCACGCUCGCCUGCGUAAGACGGAUUAACACGCCCUGGGAGGCUGAAUCCGCAGCAUAAAAAAAGGUUGGUAGCCACGCUCGCCUGUGUAAGACGGAUUAACAUGCCCUGAGAGGCUCAAUCUGCAACAAAAAUAAAGGCUGCUUUGCUGGCCCUGAAAGCCGAGGCUGACCUGGACUCCUGCUCUCCCCUCUACCACCUUCGACGUGACCCUGACCAAAUGCUGCAGCAGCUGGACUUACAACAACAAUUUCCUGAAAAUGUCAACAGGGCUGCGAUCUUAUGCAGCGGAGACGGAGAGCGUUAAAACCAAGGCCCGUUUCACUACACGGGGGAAAAAUUCCCAGACAGCUUCAGCUGACAGAGCUGUGACGAGACGCCUGCCAAGCCGAAUGACAAGUAAGGCCGAGCAAAAGAAUGCUGACCUUAACAAUUCUGCAUUAACACUGUGCAGGACAGUGAUGGACCAACACGGCAGCAAAAAGGGCGUGCCAGAGACAGGAGGAGCAACUGAGGUCGAAUGGACAAAACACAGAAGAAGAUGCAGUUUUCACCUGCGGUGAGCAUGGACACUGGAGAAAAGGACUGUCCCAAUUGGGGUCAGAACCAGGACAAACUGAACUUUGAACAGCAGCAAUGGUGGCAAGCGGACUGAAAAGGAGGAGGGCAGGACCCCAGGGCACGCUUCAGGCUGUGGUUUACCCAGAACACCAGAACAGGAAAGUGAUGAACACACACACAUCUAUAUACACCGAUUCAGAAUGAAGUGAAAUAUACACAUGAACACAUGUGCACUCGUUGAUAGAGGGAGAAAUGGCACACACACACGCUUAUGCAAUGAAGAAUGCUUUGCUCGCAAAUGCUUGUGCUGACAUGCAAAAUGCUGCACACAAACAUCCCAAUACAUAAUUUUUAUGAGAAGCAAUUGAUUACUUAAAAUGUGUUUUAUGUCACCCAGAGGAUAUUUAUGUAGAUUUAAGGAACAAGGUCUAAAAUUGUCCGGUUAUGAAAACAAUGUCUGUGCGUGAGGUCUGUUUAUGGCUCAAGGUCUUGAUUGAAUUGUCUAUUGUGCUACACACUUCGUAAAUGAAGUGAUAUCAAAAGUCUCUGAAGCACUGGGCUUCAGUAUAAAACAUCACUUCUCAUAUCACCCGCAGAGUACCCAUUACAAGCGAACCGAUAGACAAAUCCAUAAGAGAAACAACACUAGCAGAAUGGAUGACAAAACUGUUAGAAAACAAAGAAAUAGUUUUGAACAAUCAACUGCCAGAUGAUUCUCUUCCAGUCUCUUCCAGGUUGAAACCAGGAGAUUGGAUCCUGAUAAAAGUGCUCCAGAGGAAAAAGUGGAGCUCCCCGAGGUGGGAAGGACCCUACCAAGUCCUCCUGGCCACACCAACAGCCUGCAAAAUUGCUGAACGACCCUCCUGGAUUCAUCAGAGCCACUGUAAAAAAAGUGAGCGACAGUCAACACUAACACGCCAGCACCCCUGCCUGUCAGUGAUCUGGGAGGUGGAGAGAGGGCUGUUUGGGUAAAUCCCGCCCUUGUUCUUCUCGCCCCUAGUCUACUCACUCACAGGACCAGGUGUGUUCGGUCAUCAUGAAGACCCUACUCGUUCUGGUGUCCAGUGUCACAAUUCUGUUGGGACUGCUGUCGCUGAUUUCAGAAGAAGAAGGACAAGAUUGACACAUGACACAAUACAUCCAGACGACAUGACACAAGAUCACAACCACCCAUGGAUGAACAAUGCCUGGUACCGUUAUGUGUACAACUCCACAAGAGACAGAAACUAUUACAUCUGUUCGCACAUGCCUCUUAAUGCAAAACACCUGAUAAUGUGCAUUCCACCAACUUGUCUGACGCACUGAACACGCUACGUCAGCUCAGACGAGUACAGCAGCAAGAUUACACACACAACACCGAGGACUGGCUCACAUGGCUGUUUAGCGGGUCGUGGAAGUCAUUGCUCACUAAAGGACUAACAUUCGUUGGAAUGCUCCUUAUGCUACUUUGCUUAUUUUCCACAUGUGUACUGCCUUGUAUUCGGAGUAUGAUAAGCAAAAUGUUUACUGUAAGAUUGCAAGCUUAUGUUGCAUUAUCUCAAAAUGAACAAGCUCAAGAAGAGGUACAAGUUGAAGAAGAUGAUUUUUAAGCACUAAACUGUGUAAACCCAAUAAAGCUGAUCAUGUACGUUUUCACAAAAUGAUACUCUAGUUGAAAAUGCUUCUGCAAGUAACUAGUAGUUGAAGUACAUAAAUAUAUAUGAACAACAGCAGGGAAUGUUAAGAGAUUUUGAGAUUUUAUGAUGUUUUUCCUUUUUCAUACAUUUUCCCUUUUAAUGUUUCAUUUACUCAGUUUUCCUUAUAAUGUUCCAUUUACUCAUAUACUUCUGUUAAGAAAGGCCUGAUACUCAUAUGCUUAUGUUAAGAAAGGCUUGAAAAGCACAUAGUGUUCACAUAUCUUUAUGUUUUGUCUUUGCUUCUUCUCACACACAUACACAUGAGCCCUGCCGUAAUCGCUGACUCCUGUAAAAGUAUCUUGCAGACACCCUUGGAAACAGGACCCAACUGGCUUCUGCUUUCCCCGAGAUAGACAAUACACUCACACACACACACACACACACACACUGUGUCCCAUACAUGCCCAGAUUGUCUGUUACAGUCUGAAAAAACAGAGAAUGCUACGAUGUAUAAAUAAAGCUGACUGCAAAGCCUCGGUGUGAGUAUCACCCGAUCACUCACCCGUGCGCACGUAGUUCUCUGAACAAAA